Molecule: non-coding RNA, 10981 nt
Organism: Callithrix jacchus (white-tufted-ear marmoset)
Lineage: Eukaryota; Metazoa; Chordata; Mammalia; Primates; Cebidae
Source: RefSeq, a predicted model, not a curated record
ACCUGAAACAAUAACAUGAUCAUAAAUUUAAAAAUAUUCGAUGGGACAGGCGCAGUGGCUCAAGCCUGUAAUCCCAGCACUUUGGGAGGCGGAGGCGGGUGGAUCACGAGGUCAAGAGAUCGAGACCAUCCUGGUCAACACGGUGAAACCCUGUCUCUACUAAAAUUACAAAAAAUUAGCUGGGCACAGUGGCGCAUGCCUGUAAUCCCAGCUACUCUGGAGGCUGAGGCAGGAGAAUUGCCUGAACCCAGGGGGCAGAGGUUGCGGUGAGCCGAGAUUGCGCCACUGCACUCCAGCCUGGGUAACAAGCAAAACUCCGUCUCAAAAAAAAAAAAAUAUUCGAGCAUUAGGAAGUUAACAACUGUUCAAUAAUCCUCUAUAUAUACUUAAAAACUUUUUGAGCCUCUGCUUUUAAAUUUUAUUAUUUUAUUAAUUUAGUGAUUAAUGUAUUUUUUUAGGCGGAGUCUUAUGCUGUUGCCCAGGCUGGAGUGCAGUGGGGUGAUCUUGGGUCCAUGCAACCUCUGACUCCCGGGUUCAAGUGAUUCUCCUGCCUCAGCCUCUCCUGAGCAACUGGGAUUACAGGCACAUGCUGCCACGCCCAGCUAAUUUUUUGUACUUUUAGUAGAGAUAGGGUUUUACCAUAUAGCACAAGCUCGUCUUGAACUCCAGACCUCAGGUGACCCGUCCACCUCAGCCUUCCAAAGUGCUGGGAUUACAGGCGUGAGCCACUGUGCCCACCCAAUUUUAUUAUUAUUUUUGAAAAGGUCUUGCUCUGUUGUCCAGGCUGGAAUGCAGUGUCACGAUCUUGGCUUACUGCAACCUUGACCUCCCAAGCUCAAAUGAUCCUCCCACCUCAGCCCCCCAAGUAGUUGGGACUACAGGUGCACACUAUCACACCCAGCUAAUUUUUGUGGAGACUGGGUUUUGCUGUGUUGCUAGGCUGGUCUGCAAUGCCUGUGGUCAAGUGAUCUGCCCAUCUAGACCUCCCAAAGUGCUGGGAUCAUAGGCAUGAGCCACCACACCCAGCCUUAAGCCUUUGCUUUUUACUAAGAAUGUAAGAGAUGACAUCAACUGAGAAGUAGAAAUGUACUUAUUGAAAAUGUAAUAACUUCCUAUGAUAAAGCAUAAUUUAAAAAAAAGAACUAGGCUGGGCGCGAUGGCUCAUGCCUGUAAUCUCAGCACAUUGGGAAGCCAAGGCAGGUAAGGAGUUUGAAACCAGCCUGACCAACAUGGUGAAGCCCCAUCUAUACUAAAAAUAUAAAAAUUAGCCGGGUGUGAUGGCAGAUCCCUGUAAUCCCAGCUACUCCGGAGGCUGAGGCAGGAGAAUUGCUUGAACAUGGGAGCCGGAGGUUGCAGUGAGCCAAGACUGCACCAUUGCACUCCAGCAAGGGCAUGAGAGCAAAACUCCAUCUCAAAAAAACAAAAAACUUCCCUUUAAUUUCUAAAUCCAAUUUAUAUGUAAUGAAAAAGGUGGCAUUAAUUUAAAAACAACUGCUUCUGUGUGUUACUUCACAUUAUCUGUAAUUUCUUGUCUGCUUUGUCUUCAUUUACUUUGGUUUUAUGCACCUAUAAUUCUUCUGACAUUUUCCAAAUGUGUGGCUUGCUUCUCAUAGCUUACAAUUAACUCGAAAUAAUAUCCCACUGCUGCCUGGCAGACUCCAGAGCUGUCUACGUUCAUAUACCAGUCUUUUCAAGAAAAACAAUCUUGGCCAGGUACAGUGGCUCAUGCCUGUAAUCCCAGCACUUUAGGAAGCCGAGGCGUGUGGAUCAGGAGUUCAAGACCAGCCUGGCCAACAAGGUGAAAGGAGGAAACCACUGAGAGGCUGUGAGCAAGCGAGUGACACAACCUCCAUCUUAACUCACCUGAAAGGCACACAUGGUCUACCAAGACUAAACUACAGCCUACUAUAAUAAUCCAGAAGGAAGAUGAUAGUGGCUUGAGCCAAGUGGUAGCCAUGGAAGCCAUAACAACUGGUCCAACUGUGAACAGAUUUUUAAUAGAGCCAAUAGGAUAUGUGAGUGGGAUGAUGUGAGAGGAUGAUUCCAAGGCACCUGAUCUAGGCAGCUGGAAGGAUGGAGCCACCAUCAGCAGAGACGACCACCAAAGGAAGGGGUUGGUUAGAAGAAAGUCAGGAACUGGAUUUGGGAUAUGUUAACUUUGCAGUGGCUACCAGACAUCCAGUAGAUGUCUAAUGAAGAUUUCAAAUAAGCAGUAGGAUGUUCAAGUCUGGAGUUCACAGGUUUGAGAUACAAAUUUGUAGUUGUCAGAAUAUUGAUGUUAUUUAAAGAUCCAUGGACCUGGAUGAAAUCUCUCAGGAAUAGGUACAGAUGAUGCAGAGAAGUUGAGAGAAUGAAUCCAGGGGGCAGCUGCCGGAUAAGGAGGAACCAGCAGGGUAGGAGGAGGUGUAGAGACAUCCUAGGAGCAAGGAGGGGACGAUCAAGUAGGGGAUGCUGCCAGGGACUGGAGUUCACGGUCAUGUUCAGCCCUGAGCUGGCUGCAGGAGACUAGGAAAGAAGGCUGAAGAAGUGAGUGUCACAAGCAUUUCUGAGUUUUACUAUUAUGACGGCAGAAACACGGAGUGGUGGCUAAAGAGGGAAAUGGGCCCAAGAUCGGGAGAAAUGCUGGCAUGUUUCAUGCCUGUGUGUUGCUGAUGGGUACCUUUAGUAUGGGAAGGGGUGGUAACACAAGAGGGAUCUCAUGGAAUGAAUGUCCUUGGGUGAGCAGGAGAUAAGAUCCCAGCCCAAGGAAGGACUGACUGUGACUAAGAGAUGGAUGGUUCCUUUCUAGCAACAAGAGGGGUUAGGAAGGGGGUACAGGGAGGAUGCUGGAUGUGGCUGGAAGGGAAGGGAAGGCAGAGGAUAACCUGUGGAAGGUCCCUCAUUCCUGGUUCUACUUCUCAGUGAAAUGGUAAACGUGCCAUCAGAUGAAAGCAAAGGUAUGCAUGGGAGGGAGGGAUGUGGGCAAUGCAGAGGAGGGCAGCCCAGCUGCUGCCUAGUCACAGCACGGGAUGAUCCACCCAAGGGCAGGCCUGUGCCCAGCAUACUGUUCAGUACUCACCAUCUUCUGAGUAGACUUAGCCACAUGAAUUUCCCACAAAAACUUAACACUGACUUUCAAUAAUAAAUAAUAAAUGAAACUCAAUAAAGAACAGUUAAAAACAUACUAUCCCUAGGGUAUUGCUUCUGUCUUCAAAGAGCUUUUCAACAGUCACACCACAACUGUUGCUAAUAACCCACCUGCCGUUCUCCAUCCUGGUCAUCUCGUAUCAUCAAUCAAGCAAUAGCCAGUCUCCCCUCACAGCAUAAAGUGGACUAAACAAUACACACGAAUUCAAAGGAAGUGGACUUCACCUCUUGUUCUCCUCUUUCUCCAGCAGCAGACUGCUCGACAAACACUGUGUCAGGCGCUCCUCAGCAGAAGCUCCUCGCAUCAGAUCCUCUGUGCUGGGAACCCUCCCCUCUCGACCACACUCUGUGCUCCUCUUCCAGUUACCGUCCAUGUGAAGCAAAGGUAUGGGAAAAUUGUUUGCAGAAGCAUGAAAAGUCUUUAUUCCCAAACUGUAAGUACAUGAUUUGAAAUGGUUAUGGUCAAGAGAAUAUUUCUACAGCAUCACGUAAAGCAUAGAGAUACGCUGCACAUGUGCGUUAACACGUAAGAACAUGUGCCUAAGACACAUGCCCUCCUGGGACAGCUCAUGCUGGCCUGCUUCCAAGCUUCCCUCAAGUCAGGGAGUAGGGCAAAGAGGGAAGGCAGCCCUGCACCGCAGUAACCCUCAUGCACAGAGGUAUCGAGACUACCUGUUCCUCUUGGAAGCUUCUGCUCUCACGAGGCAGCUUUUGGAGCUUCUCUGCUUCAUGUCUUCCUUCCCACCCCAGGGUUCCAGAUUCUGUUUUUCCCUAAUACUGGCAAGGUCUUUAUUUUUUAUAUUUAGCUUUGGAAGUAAUGUUUACAAAUGAUGAGAGAAGGCAUCUAACUUUUUUCUCUAAACAUAUGCCAAUGUCUGUCCUUUCCCUGCUAAUUUCAGUUAUUUGGCAUAACCCUUUUGUCACAUAUGGUUCUGUUUCUUGCCUCUCUAUUCUGAUCCAUUCAUCUAUUCUGGCUUCCCCACGUGGUUUUAAGUACUGGAGCUUUUUCUAUAUGUUUUGAUAUCAGGCAAAGCAAACCUUGUUAGGCUUACUUAAAACUUUCUUAGCAAUUGCUGAAUAUUUUCUUAUCCUGAUGAAUUUUAGAACUUAUCAAUACCAGAAUUGACAUCUUCACAGCGUCAUAUCCUCCUGUAAACAACCUAGUCUGAACUUCAAUGGCUCAGGUUUCCUUUGCACAUGCAGGCCCUGAGAAACUCCUAUGUUGUGAAUGAGGCUUUUUUUAAACAUGUUGUGGGUCUAUCUGUCUGAUCAACUUGCUGAAUUCAGAAUAGUUCUAUGGGCUUGACUGCUGAUUAUCUUGGACUGACUACUGUACUGUCUGGAAAUGACAGUUUCUCCUUCCUUUCGGUAUUUGUGCCUAUAUCCCACAUCCCUGUGCUGGUCAGAAUUUCCAAGACAAUAGUGAAUAGUAGCCAGGACAACAGGCUGGUUCUGACUCCAGUGUUCCUAAUGUUCUACCAAGAAGCAUGUUCCCACCACCCCGCCCCACCUUUUGGUAGUUUUAUGUUAGGUAGCCUUAUCAGGUUAGGACUUUUUUUUUACCCAAGAUAAAGAAAUUUUAUUGGGAAUGGGUGUAAGUUUUAAGAAAUGUAUUUCAACACCUGCUACAAUGGCCACUUAUUUUUCUAUUAUGGUAACAAAUUACAUGAAUACAUUGUUUAUCCUGGGAGAAAACAUACUUGUGAACUUUUUAGGUACUGUGUUUGGAAGCAGAUUUGCAAGUGAGAUGAAAUGUCAGCUGUAUUCUCCUGGUUAGGUUUCAGGGUCAGGUUUGCCUGAUAAUGAAGUAAAAUGCUUCUAACUUUGCUCUAGAAGAGUUUCUACUGCAUGGGAAUGAUCUGUUCCUUGAGGGUCUGUCACAAUCUGCCCACAAUGGACUGGAUUUGGCAUGAAGGAUGUUAAUUUCUGUGUACUGUGGAAGAAAAAUACAGUUUAGCAAGCAGCAGAAACAGACUGAACAUGAAUCUCACCGUCCUUCUCUCAGCUGUAGCUCCUUCUGUGUCUGCAAUCUGGCUUGUUCCCAUGACAAAGGAACAUCGUAUUUUUUCAAAUCAUUUUUAAAAAAAUAUACACAUAUUUGGCCAUCUUCACUCAGUGCCUCUGAGAAAACAAUACAAAAACAGAUAAAGAGAUUAGUCUGGACAACACAGCAAGCCCCCGUCUCAAAAAACAAAAAGAAAACCAGGUAAAAAUAAUAUAUAAAGAGCAGCAGGUGGCCAUUUGGCAUGUGCUUAAAUUCACUGAUUUAAGGGCAAGUCCUUCGAUUAUUUAAAGUCACACAAUUAUGUGACUUCCAUACUUUGAUUAAAUAGGCUCCCAGUGUCCAUGCAUCAGAGUCCAGACAGGCUGACAUCCAGACUGCAGGGCCAGUAAGGACUACUCAAAAGCCACAGAACCCUAACAGCCAGCCUAGGAAGCCUGUCUUAGGGAGGUGACUUCAGGCUCUACUGGAACCUUCUUGGCUUGUUUUCAAUGUUUCUAAGUCACUGACUUGAGGGAGGAAGUCCUAAGGAAAAGAAGGGUAGGCACUCAAGAGAAAAGAAGCAACAUCAAGUAAACGUCUUUCUUUGCAGAAACUACCAGAAAGUCUUGUGAGGCACUGAUCGCACUGCACCAAGGUCUAACUACCUGAUGUAACAGGAAGCCGGGGGGGUGUCCAGUCUCUCAGCUUGUGGUUGAUACACAAGGCGAUGAGAUCAUCCCAUGGGAUCUCCAUGACGGAGGGGCCUGCCCCAUGGACUGCGGAGAGGCUCUUGCUCUUCCACCUACGGUAGGUUCUGCAGAGCAGGUUCUCCACCUGGGACUGGAGGACAGGCUGCGUCUGGCAUGAGCUGGGGAUCUGAGAAGCGUACUGCACAACCAUGGAGCACACGGGGAGCCAGGGGGCUGGGGAGAAAGUGCCUCGUUAGUUACAGGUUUGCCCUAAGUACAGGUGAAAAUGUGUAUGAAAAUAUUUUUAACUCUAUUUUCUUAGGAGAAGGCAACCGUGAAGUUGAGAAGUCUGCUUUCUAAACACAGCGGAACCACGGCUGCUGAGGGGAAGAGCAGCUUGCUCCCAGGGUUUAGGUGAGGGAUGCAGACAGUCCCCCUAAACAGUGUUGAUAGCAAAGGUACACCAUUCCCAGAAACUCUGUGUUUGUGCCUAGGAAUCUGUAUUUUAACAAGCACCCAGGUAUAAGUCUGGGAUAAGUUGUCUUAGCCUAUUUUGUGGUGAGUGGUGAGUGGUUCGCUUCCCUUUGGGUUCCUUCAAUUGAGCAUGGGUUAGAGGUACUACAGACCACACCCCACAAUUUAGAAGGGCACCUGAGGCCCAAAGGGGAGUGUCUAUGCUAAUGCCAUGACUUCCGCCACAUAAGCAGCUCAUUCCCUUCUGACAGUGUCUGCAUGGGAAGGAGCAGCCCCAUGCCACACUGGGCUCGAGCCAGCCAGAUGGCCUAUAGGAUCUGUGUCAAAACAGCUCAGAGACCUCAGCCAGGUACAGGGGCACAGCCAGAGCCACAGAACAAGACUUCUUUGACAAAGAAGUAACAUUAAAUCGGCACUGAGUGCCAUGGCUGUGGCUUGGGGACAGGGCUACAUGGUCCCCAUGCUCUUUGCCCCUGGCUCGUCUGUUUUGAAAACAGGGACCAUAUGAGGCAGGCAGGACAGGAUCAGAGUUGGUGUUCCUCCCAGUACCACUUGCCACUUUCCUCCUGAGGCAAGUGAACUCCCAUGGACUGCUCUGUCAGUCAGGAAAGGCCAACAGCCCCCACUUCACAAAACCCAGCUUGUUCUGACCCAUGAACAUAAGGAAGGUGCAGGCAAGCACACUGUGGGGACACCCCAUGUGCCCAGUGGAGGUGGAUGUGCAGACCUCACACUGGUGCCCAACACCUGCCAGGUGGUCACUACAGUGAGAAGGAAGCCUGAGGCUCGGCUGCAGCCACUCACCGCUCCUCCCAGCACAAGCACUUACCCCCCAGGGGCGGAAGGUCCAUCUGCGGAAGCUGGAACCCGAGCACAGCCUGCUUCAGCCAGGCCAGGUGCUCUGGGGCAUUCCAGUGCAGGUGAGGAAGCAGCCGGCUGCCCCCCGCCUCAGCAAACUCAGUGACAGGCCAGGACAGGUCGCACAGCUGUUCAGAGGACACCACGGAAGCCAGGAACUGCAGCCCACUGUUAAACAACUCAAUGAUGGCGCCAGGCUCCUGCGAAGGAAGGCCACCCAGACGCCUCUCUCUUCUGUCGUGGAAAAAGCGGCCACUAAACUCACGGCCAACCCCAUCUUCGACGUACUGAAUGAGAGUCUGGCAGCAAAGGUCAAGGGAAUGGGGGCAGUGGGAAACCAGCCACUGCACCGCUUGCAAAACCUGAGAGCAAAGACAUUCAGAAGAGACUCUUAAACAAUUCAUACUGUUUUUCAAAAACAGCCUCAUCCCCCAAGGCUGCCCACAGCAGGUAACACCAGAGUACCGGGGUCCCAACUGCGGUAGGAAGGGGAACAGAAGUGUCCUUUGCAGUUGAGUUUAGCCUUCUAGGGCCCUGGAGACAUGUCCAGCAGAGGAACUAAUGAGAGGCCCCCAGAUCCCAUCUGGCCUGAGGAGGAAUGUGACCUGCAUGCGGAAGGCCCAGGCCCUCAGGGAAACAUCCCCUUCGCCAUGCACAGAAACGGAAGCCACGUCUUCUGAUUUUUGGAAGGACUAACAGCUUCAUUAUAUGCCAAGAUGCUGUCACACCGUAUAGUUAUCUUACUUCCUAUAGUUAUUUUAAAUUCCUGGCACCUCUUUCUCUAAAUUGUUAGCAAAGACUCCCGCUGCCUUUCUUUUGAGAAGGGGGUCUCCCUAUGUUGCCCAGGCUAGUCUCCAACUCUUGGGCUUAAGCAGUCCUCUUGCUUCAACCUCCCAAGCAGCUGAGAUUACAGGUUUGAGGAGACACCAUGCCCAGUUUCAGACUUCCUUUUCAAAGGAAACAUCAAAGAACAUUAUUUCUUAAUAUAUUCAGAGAACAAUCACCCUAGAAAAAUAAUUUCUAUAUCUGACCUUCAAAUGUAAGAUGUGUUCAUAUUUUAAAUUCAUAGACACAAAAACACUAAAAAAUUUUACAUGAACAAUUUAAUCUGUAGACAGCAGGACUGGGCAAAUUUUAUCUUUUGAUUUCUGCUUAUGUUUUUAGAAAGUUAUCUAUAAAACACACACCUGCUGCCGGGCGCAGUGGCAUACCACAGUACUCCCAUAUCCUUGGGAGGCUGAAGUGGAAGACUGCGUGAGCUCAGUAGUUUGAGGCUGCAGGGAGCUAUCAUGCCACACUGGGUGACAGAAUAAAACUCUAUCUUAAGAAAAAAAAAAUGCAAAUGCUAAUAUACGCUCAAUUCAAGAUGGAGCAAAAGGGGAAAAAUCAAAAUACCUUGAUGGACUGUUAAAAAUAAUGAAAGCUUACCUUAGUUGAAGCUCGUAGAUCAUUAAUGGAAUCAGGGAUCUCCAUAACAGUGUAAUCUGAAAUCAGCUUAGCUGAAACCAAGUCCUGGAGCAUCAGACCUUUAACAGAGAGAGAGAUGAAGGUCACACACAUUCUGCUCUCAGCACACCUGCUAACACAACUCACUGUGCUGACCCACCCCAGUCCUGCAGUGGACAGUCCUACAAGGGUUGCUGUCUCAGUGACUGCUGACCCCACACUACUGGACCACCCUCAGACCAAGCGUCCACCCCUUUAUUAAACAAUGCUGGUUCAUAAACAAGACUUCCUUCACAAACCAUCCUCUACUUCCUUCUCAACGGCGUCCCCUCCUGAGCUGGGCAUAAGAACCACCAGCGGAAGUGCAGGCUGGAAGGGCUUGGCCUGCAGGAGCUGCUUGAGCUGCAGCAAGGCCGAGAGCCAGUACACGUCCUCCUCUGCCACAUCCUCACUCUUCACUUUGGGGGGAAGCAGCAGCAUGAGCCCACUGGCUCCCAGGAGGUCCUUUUGUGUCUCCACAGCAUCAAUGGCGCCAUCACUGAGGGCACCAUGGGUCACCUGCAAGCGCAUCAAGAUCAUCAGGAUAGAUGCACCACAGGACACAUCAGCAGUGACUCAGCUGCCCCAGAGCAAGUGCAGCCAAAGCUUUCCAUGCACUAAAUACUGACUGCACUCCAGACAGGCUUCCAAGGGCACAGCUGGGCACACCCUACAGCUAUCUUACUUCCUGUAGUUAUUUUCGUUCCUGGUACCUCUUUCCCUAAAUCCAAUUGUUAGCAAAGACCGCCCCCCCAACACUUUUUUUUUUUUUUUUUUUGAGAAGGGGGUCUUUUUAUGUUGCCCAGGCUGGUCUUGAACUCCUAGGCUCAAGCAGUCUUCCUGCUUCAGCCUCCUGAGUAGCUGAGAUUACAGGUUUGAGGAGACACCAUGCCCAGCUUCAGACUUCCUUUUUAAAAGAUAUAUCAAAUAACAUUCUUUCUUCAUAUAUCCAGAGGCCAAUCACCCUAGAAAAAUAAUUUCUAUAUCUGACCUUCAGAUAGAAAACAUAUUCAUUUCUAGCCUCACUCUGUCGCCCAGGCUAGAUUGCCGUGGCACAAUCUCAACUCACUGCAACCUCUGCUUCCCGGGUUCAAGCAAUUCUGCCUCAGACUCCCGAGUAGCUGGGACUACAGGCGCCCACAACCAUGCCCAACUAAUUUUCGUAUUUUUAAUGGAGAUGGGGUUUCACCAUGUUGGCCAGGCUGGUCUUGAACACCUGACCUCAAGUGAUCAGCCCGCCUUGGCCUACCAAAGUGCUGGGAUUACAGGCAUGAGCCACUGCGCCUGCCCAUGUUCGUAUUUUAAAUCCGUAGAAACAAAAACAACAGAAUUAAUGCAACAGAAUUAGUGUAGUAAAUGGCCAGUUCAACAGGUAAUUUAGUCGCCAGCUAGAAUUGUGUUUGACUAUAUUACUAACAUUUUAAUUAACCUUAAACAAGUAUAAAACAAAACUGGACACAGUGGCUCAUGCCUAUCAUCACAGCACAAAAGGAAGCCAAGGCAGGAGAACUGUUUGAGGCCAGGAGCUCAAGACCAGCCUGGGCAACACAGCAAGACCCCAUCUCUACAAAAAUAAACAAAACUUUAUGCCCAUAACAACAUAAAGAGGGAAGGCAAGCCAGCAGCAGAUGAAGGAUUCUAAUACAUUUCUAGAAAGGAGCAAGUAGAUGGGUCCAAUCCCUGGGUUAGGGAAGCAGAGGAAGCCAUACCUAAAGGCUGCAGGUGUGGGUGUGGAGGCUGCAGCCAGGUUGACUGAGCCUGCAAAAGCCCUUGAUAUCCAGGCCCUGCAGAGACCAGGAGCCAAAGGCGAAGUUCAGAGCCUGGCCCUAUAGGCACCCACCACUGCAGGCAACCUUCUUAUGCACAACCAGUCCCUCCGGGCCCCUGAACAGGAGUCCUGAGAGGAUCCAGAUGCAGGGGCGUGAUCAGGCACAGUGGAAGGGACUUAGUGUCAAACCACUCCCGGCCCUACCCUGAGAAUACCAGCAGCUCUCCAGGAAGCGGAAGGCACAAGUUCUUUGCAGAAAAACUUAACAGUCUAGGGAACAGACAUUCAGAUCCAGACAUUUGGGAGUACCUCCAAAAAGGCUGGCUUGCCAUUUAGCUACCUCCCACCCCGCCCCAAACACAGAACUCCUUGGCCAGCCUUGUAGGACCUCACUCAGUUAUAGACAGACAGCCUCGGGUAAGGCAUCUGAGGAGAGCCUCCAACAUAAAAGAGAUAAACGAGAAUAACAUAAGAGGGGGGGAAAAAAAGAGGAACCAGAUAAUGCAUGAUCCGAAGAAAACUUAGACCCCCAAAACCCUAAUUUCCUCGGAAAGAUAAGAUGAUGCAUCCAAAAAAUAAGAUGCUAUGAAAAAGUCA